UAGAGAGCCAAUUCUUAAUCACUGAGAGGAGAGGCUAGCUGAAGACCUAACAUCCUAAGGAAGGCUCUCCAGAUGAGGUCUGGAGUCUGAUGGAGCCCCUAAGAGGAUACUGUCCCUAAAAACUGGUAGCAGAGAGAGAAGAGUGGAAGAAGGAAAAUAAGACGAAAAUACAUUCUUUGAAGUUA
Leopardus geoffroyi (Geoffroy's cat) is the source of this 185-nucleotide long non-coding RNA. RefSeq lists it as uncharacterized. The transcript has 2 exons. NCBI's taxonomy places the organism in Eukaryota, Metazoa, Chordata, Mammalia, Carnivora, Felidae. The record is from RefSeq and is a predicted model, not a curated record.